Molecule: ribosomal RNA, 301 nt
Filed under: uncultured bacterium
Lineage: Bacteria
Description: partial 16S ribosomal RNA
Rfam family: Bacterial small subunit ribosomal RNA
Source: RNAcentral
CAGUAGCCGCGGUAAUACGAAGGGUGCAAGCGUUAAUCGGAAUUACUGGGCGUAAAGCGUGCGUAGGCGGUGAGUUAAGUCUGCUGUGAAAUCCCCGGGCUCAACCUGGGAAUGGCAGUGGAUACUGGCUCGCUAGAGUGUGUCAGAGGAUGGUGGAAUUCCCGGUGUAGCGGUGAGAUGCGUAGAGAUCGGGAGGAACAUCAGUGGCGAAGGCGGCCAUCUGGGACAACACUGACGCUGAGGCACGAAAGCGUGGGGAGCAAACAGGAUUAGAUACCCGCGUAGUCCCUGUCUCUUAUAC